Acanthopagrus latus (yellowfin seabream) is the source of this 1074-nucleotide long non-coding RNA. RefSeq lists it as uncharacterized. The record is from RefSeq and is a predicted model, not a curated record. Lineage: Eukaryota; Metazoa; Chordata; Actinopteri; Spariformes; Sparidae. The transcript is spliced from 6 exons.
UACUUUCACUUGCUCUGCUGUCAGGUUGCAUGGUAUUGCAAAACGAUCCAACUGCCCAACCACAGCAUUGCAGCACCAUCCAACAGUUACAAAAAUAUAAUGAAAUUGCCCUUUCUGCAGCUACAAAGCACUGCAGGGGAUCAGAUACUGUAGCUGAAUCUCAAUGAUGACUGGGAGCAGCUCAGCUGAGUGACUUGGAGGAACUAGGGCCCGGUCAGAGCAUCCUGACACCGCUAACAAAGUCGGGGUCAGUGUGUUCAGAGGAGGUCAAAAUUCGGGUCUGAGCAGCGGUGACCUCGCCCUCAUUAGAAAAUAUAGUUGUUAGUCUGGAUUUAGUUUCCCGUAAACAACACAGCAUACUGCAACAGCCCACUUGGGUCUCAUUUAUGAAACAUGAGUAUAAUGAAUGUGUGUAAAAUGGUAAUUUAUGCACACUUGGGCGUUCAUCAAACAUUUAGCAGCUCCGACUUGUUUACAUAUAACUCAGGCAGACUGCUUUGCUGUUGAAUCUUAACUGAUCGGGGCAAAUGAGAAGAGAAGAAUGGCUUUUCCAUUGGCUCCUUGGUUGUACCAAGUGCAGAAUGCAUGAGCUAGUUGGCCAUCUGCUGCAGUCUUUGCGGUGUGUUUAAGUGCAGUUUUCAGGCCGAGAGACAGAGGCCAUGAGGUGAUACAACUGUCCGCCUUUGCUGCAAGUGUGUCAGGGCCUUAAUUGUCAACCCACAGUGGCCACAAUGAUGCUCUGGGAGUACGAAACAGUCUCCACAUGUUGUGUCACUUUCCAUGAGGCGAUGAUGUGAUAGCUGCAAUUUAAUGGGAGGCUCGUUUUAGACUCAGCUGCAAUCUCCGCAUUGCUAAAGGCUGCUGUAUCUGCCAUCUCGACAGGAACUGCUCCAUUAAAACACCGCUGUAUUCCACCCCGUUAACAGCCAGCUUUUGUUGUCGAGUGAAAAAUGAUUGAUUCCCCCGCCGCUCCACCUCACUCAGAAUGUGUGAAAAUGGAUCGGCGGACUAUUAGGGCCCAGGAUUUUCCCACCAUUGUUUUGCGCCCUCUCUGACAGGAAGAGCAGUCUUGGU